This 278-nucleotide ribosomal RNA is filed under the name uncultured prokaryote. Its description in RNAcentral is "partial 16S ribosomal RNA". It matches the Rfam family "Bacterial small subunit ribosomal RNA", at positions 524 to 801 of the family's 1533-position model. The record is from RNAcentral.
UACGGAGGAUCCGAGCGUUAUCCGGAUUUAUUGGGUUUAAAGGGUGCGCAGGCGGGAAAUUAAGUCGGCGGUGAAAUUUUGCGGCUCAACCGUAAAAGUGCCUUCGAAACUGGUUUCCUUGAGUGUAGAUGAAGUAGGCGGAAUUUGUGGUGUAGCGGUGAAAUGCUUAGAUAUCACGAGGAACUCCGAUUGCGCAGGCAGCUUACUAAACUACUACUGACGCUCAGGCACGAAGGCGUGGGGAUCAAACAGGAUUAGAUACCCUGGUAGUCCCUGAG